Molecule: long non-coding RNA, 209 nt
Filed under: Elaeis guineensis (African oil palm)
Lineage: Eukaryota; Viridiplantae; Streptophyta; Magnoliopsida; Arecales; Arecaceae
Description: long non-coding RNA (EGUI_LNC036345)
Source: RNAcentral
GAUAUCGAAAUACUAACAUAUAACAUCCCAUUGGUAGGGUAUCAAAAUGCCAGCGUAUAAUGCUCCAUUGGUAGGAUGUUGAUAUACUAAUAUAUAAUGCAUCAUGAGUAAUUCUUUGUAUAUCGAGGGCGGUGUUAUAAAUCCGAUGCGGAGUGCAACGCAUGUUGCGAUGGAGCCAUAUGGCAUCUACGUGGAAGACAGGAUAGGGC